AUGCGGCCCGUGGACGCGGACGAGGCGCAGGAGCCCGAGCUGGACUGGGCGAGGGUCCGGAGCCCCGCGCCCGCCGCCGCCCGCCGUGACGUCAGCGCCCUCGAGCGCGAGCACGUGCGCGCGCACCUGCGGGCCCGCCGGCGGCUGCGGGAGAUCGAGAGCCUGCUGGACGCCAUCCACAGCGAGGUGGAGGCCUCGGAGGAGAGCGCCCUGGACCCGGCGCGCAGCCCCGGCGCCGAGGCGGAGGAGCGGGUGGUGAAGCUGUGCGAGCAGGUGGAGAAGAAGGCGGCGGAGGCCGCGCGGAUGGGGAAGCGCAUCGUGGAGAUCCACCAGCAGAUCGACAGCCGCGAGUGCUGCUGAAGGCGCGGCGCCGGUGCGUGUCGGGCCGCGGGCAGCCGGCUCGCGGGAGUGAUGGGUGACGCCCCGCGCCGACAGGCUUCGGCCGUGGGUUAUCCGCUGAUGGGCUCGGCCGGUAAGGAGGACUGACCACUUGGAGAGGCUGGAACCACGAGGCUUUCUUUUUCCUCCCUCCUGGUUCUCUGUCUGCGUUUCCAUCAUGGCAAAGGCAUCUCCAGGCCCUUCUGGGAGAUGUGUUCAGUGUUACGGUGUCAUACGUGCAAUAGGAUUACUUGGUGCAUUCGGUUUGGAAAAGACAGCGUAGGUGUCGUUUUACUUUUUAUUAAAUGCUCUUCCAUGAAAAAUGGGGCCUAGAUUGUCAGCUGCUGUGUGGUCAUAUUCGUUACCGUGACUGUUGUGUUUUUAAAGUUUGCCAGUACACGCUUGUGCUCUGCUAUUUUUUAUGCUUCCUGGAGUUUGGGGACCCACGAGAGAGACUUGAGGUCAGCGUUCUGCAGGAGAGAAGACACACCUUGGCUGCAGCUGCUGAAGCCAGAACCCAAGUCCCGAUGGAGGGUGUGCGCGAGGGCCCCUCCCUGGAUAAGAUGGAGCCGGCCCAGAGGACGGCUGGCGUGGAGAGUGGUGGUGUGUGAAUUUUGGGACUACACAGUCCGGCAGAUCAAGGCAGGAGGGCUGUGUCCUGUUUCUUUUCCUUCUUUUUUUUCAGAAAUGUAAUUUUUUCUGUGGCACGUUAAUUGGUGUACAUCAUGUAACCUGUCUGGUGAGUAACCUAGGGUAGGGGACGAAUUCUUGUCACUACACGUAUUUGGUGACUUUUUUAUAUAAUACAGUCGUGCAUUCACGGCUUCUCGGCCACAAAUGCACAUGCUCUGGAGGAGUUGGGGAGGAAAGCGAGGAGCCUGGGGCCACGGUGGGCCCAGGCUGAGAGCACGAGGCCCCUCCCAGGCUCAGACGACCCUAGGCCAUCGGCGCAGACUUCACCGGGACUGAGGUCAGAGCUCACGCUUGUUGUGAUGAAGUUCAUUUGCCUGGAAAACCAAUUUUUAGAAUCUUUGUACAAAUGACCAAAGCCAUUGAGUUGGCCAGAAAAGGUGAGGUAAAUAAAUUUAUUUCAAAAUGCAA
Molecule: RNA transcript, 1479 nt
Organism: Eptesicus fuscus (big brown bat)
Lineage: Eukaryota; Metazoa; Chordata; Mammalia; Chiroptera; Vespertilionidae
Gene: MRFAP1L2
Gene name: Morf4 family associated protein 1 like 2
Exons: 2
Source: RefSeq, a predicted model, not a curated record